UCCAUCGGUUCAUGCAUGUACCGGUAUCGGAAAAGUGCUCCACUUGUGUUUAUUCGAUAUUGUACAUCAUGGGCCUGCUACGGAAACACCUCCGCAGAAUUCUGUGCCCGUUUUUUUACAAAAAAAAAGGCUGCCGGUACGGAGACCGUUGUUGGUAUUUCCACCCGAAAGAAGAUAAGCCGGCUCAGUAAACUGUAAUAGCCGAAGCAGGGUCGUAUUUCGGAGCCAUGGCAGCGGCAAUCACCACAACAACAUGCGUGAACACAUCAACAUGAAGCACUCGUAACCACAGAACAAAUGCAGCCACCUCAAUAACCAUACCUAGCACCGCAACAUGAGGAACACACUCCUUGACAGGUUGAAGAGCAGCCACCUCUCCCUGAACCUCUGUUGCUUCCGGCAGUAUUCAACGCCGAGGAUUAACUGCUGGCAAAGAGCCGAUGGCAAUUCCGUCAUUGGUUUGUUAGGUCGUCGUGUGGCUAAUUCCAACUGUUUGUCGUUUUGCUGUCUGUUUGUCGUGACGUUGUCUCUUGUUCAAGAUGUUCUUGUUUUUGUUUCGGUUGGAUUAGACCCGUACAUGUACUUGUGCAUGUGUAUUUAUUUUGUUUCUAUGUUCCAAAAUAUAAAAAAAUGAUUUUGUCGAACUGA
Molecule: long non-coding RNA, 648 nt
Organism: Sycon ciliatum
Lineage: Eukaryota; Metazoa; Porifera; Calcarea; Leucosolenida; Sycettidae
Exons: 2
Source: RefSeq, a predicted model, not a curated record